AUUGAACGCCGGCGGCAUGCCUUACACAUGCAAGUCGAACGGCAGCACGGGAGCAAUCCUGGUGGCGAGUGGCGAACGGGUGAGUGAAGUAUCGGAACGUGCCCAGUCGUGGGGGAUAACGUAGCGAAAGUUACGCUAAUACCGCAUACGAUCUAUGGAUGAAAGCGGGGGAUCGCAAGACCUCGCGCGAUUGGAGCGGCCGAUAUCAGAUUAGGUAGUUGGUGGGGUAAAGGCUCACCAAGCCGACGAUCUGUAGCUGGUCUGAGAGGACGACCAGCCACACUGGGACUGGGACACGGCCCAGACUCCUACGGGAGGCAGCAGUGGGGAAUUUUGGACAAUGGGCGAAAGCCUGAUCCAGCCAUGCCGCGUGCAGGAUGAAGGCCUUCGGGUUGUAAACUGCUUUUGUACGGAACGAAAAGGUCUGGCCUAAUAAGCUGAGCUCAUGACGGUACCGUAAGAAUAAGCACCGGCUAACUACGUGCCAGCAGCCGCCGCAG
Molecule: ribosomal RNA, 500 nt
Filed under: uncultured bacterium
Lineage: Bacteria
Description: partial 16S ribosomal RNA
Rfam family: Bacterial small subunit ribosomal RNA
Source: RNAcentral